Molecule: ribosomal RNA, 982 nt
Filed under: uncultured Planctomycetota bacterium
Lineage: Bacteria; Pseudomonadati; Planctomycetota
Description: bacterial SSU rRNA
Rfam family: Bacterial small subunit ribosomal RNA
Source: RNAcentral
GUGGCGAAAGGGUGAGUAAUGGGUAGGUAACGUACCUCGAACAUCGGGAUAGCGUCUGUUUGCCUUCGGGCAAGCUUCCGAAAGGGGCAGUAAUACCGAAUAAUAUCAUAUGCCGAUAGGCAUCUGAUCAAAGAUUUAUCGGUUCGAGAGCGGCCUACCCCCUAUCAGCUUGUUGGUGAGGUAAUGGCUCACCAAGGCAAUGACGGGUAGCGGGACUGAGAGGUUGGCCCGCCACAUCGGGACUGAGACACUGCCCGGACCUCCACGGAGGGCUGCAGUAACGAAUCUUGCGCAAUGGGCGAAAGCCUGACGCAGCGACGCCGCGUGCGGGAAGAAGUCCUUAGGGAUGUAAACCGCUGUCAGGGGGAAGAAAGUGCGCUCCGGCGUAUUGAUCUAACCCAAAGGAAGUCACGGCUAACUACGUGCCAGCAGCCGCGGUAAUACGUAGGUGGCUAGCGUUGUUCGGUAUUACUGGGCUUAAAGCGUGUGUAGGCGGAAAAGUAAGCGUCAUGUGAAAUCCCUCGGCUUAACCGAGGAAUUGCUUGGCGAACUGCUUUUCUUGAGGCAAGUAGGGGUGCAUGGAACUCUUGGUGGAGCGGUGGAAUGCGUAGAUAUCAAGAGGAACGCCGGUAGUGAAAACGGUGCACUGGGCUUGUUCUGACGCUGAGACACGAAAGCGUGGGUAGCGAACGGGAUUAGAUACCCCGGUAGUCCACGCCGUAAACGAUGCCUACUAGGUUGUGGUGGUUCUGACACCAGCACAGCCGAAGCAAAAGUGUUAAGUAGGCCGCCUGGGGAGUACGGUCGCAAGGCUAAAACUCAAAGGAAUUGACGGGGGCUCACACAAGCGGUGGAGCAUGUGGAUCAAUUCGAAGCAACGCGUAGAACCUUACCUGGGUUUGACAUGCUUGGAUGCUUGCUUGGAAACAGGUUAAGCUGCCCUUCGGGGUGAAACUUGCACAGGUGCGGCAUGGCUGUCGUC